Bombus huntii is the source of this 331-nucleotide long non-coding RNA. RefSeq lists it as uncharacterized. The record is from RefSeq and is a predicted model, not a curated record. The transcript has 3 exons. NCBI's taxonomy places the organism in Eukaryota, Metazoa, Arthropoda, Insecta, Hymenoptera, Apidae.
ACGGUAAUGUGAUCCUAUUUCAUAUUCUUUUGAAUAUUCUUUUUCGGUAUUAGAGUCAGUGCAUCUCUCAAGAGGACAAAGCUUCUGCAGGAGCUCAAGAAUACAUAUCACUACUUCAACUUCGUCAUCUUCUUCAGGAGUGUUCUAACAGUGGCACAAAAGCCAAGUAUAUUUUUCGCAGUUUGCAUUUCUACUAUUAGCCUUUCGACGGUUCCUGUCUGAUGUUAGUCUCCCGGAUGAAAUUCGCUGGGAUAGCACAGCAUCCACGGUAACGUUCUCUGUUUGUCUGCUUCGAACGGUGAGUCGCAUGCAUUUCUGUUCUUCUGGUCAC